AGAACGAACGCUGGCGGCGUGCUUAACGCAUGCAAGUCGAACGCGAAAGGGACUUCGGUCCUGAGUAAAGUGGCGCACGGGUGAGUAACGCGUAGAUAACCUGUCUUCAUGUCUGGAAUAAUACGCCGAAAGGGGUACUAAUACCGGAUAUUCUUGCUUUUCAUAAGUUAUGCAAGCAAAGGUGGCCUCUGCAUAUGCUACUGCAUGAAGAGGGGUCUGCGUACCAUUAGCUAGUAGGUGGGGUAAUGGCCUACCUAGGCGACGAUGGUUAGCGGGUCUGAGAGGAUGAUCCGCCACACUGGCACUGGAACACGGGCCAGACUCCUACGGGAGGCAGCAGUGAGGAAUAUUGCGCAAUGGGGGAAACCCUGACGCAGCGACGCCGCGUGAGUGAGGAAGGCCUUCGGGUCGUAAAGCUCUGUCAAGAGGAAAGAAGUGUACAAUGGCUAAUACCUGUUGUAUUUGACGGUACCUCUAAAGGAAGCACCGGCUAACUCCGUGCCAGCCGCCGC
Molecule: ribosomal RNA, 512 nt
Filed under: uncultured bacterium
Lineage: Bacteria
Description: bacterial SSU rRNA
Rfam family: Bacterial small subunit ribosomal RNA
Source: RNAcentral